This 722-nucleotide ribosomal RNA is filed under the name Pseudomonadota bacterium. Its description in RNAcentral is "bacterial SSU rRNA". It matches the Rfam family "Bacterial small subunit ribosomal RNA", at positions 28 to 745 of the family's 1533-position model. Lineage: Bacteria; Pseudomonadati; Pseudomonadota. The record is from RNAcentral.
AUUGAACGCUGGCGGCAUGCCUUACACAUGCAAGUCGAACGGCAGCACGGGAGUAAUCCUGGUGGCGAGUGGCGAACGGGUGAGUAAUAUAUCGGAACGUGCCCAGUCGUGGGGGAUAACGCAGCGAAAGCUGUGCUAAUACCGCAUACGAUCUACGGAUGAAAGCGGGGGAUCGCAAGACCUCGCGCGAUUGGAGCGGCCGAUAGCAGAUUAGGUUGUUGGUGGGGUAAAAGCCCACCAAGCCGACGAUCUGUAGCUGGUCUGAGAGGACGACCAGCCACACUGGAACUGAGACACGGUCCAGACUCCUACGGGAGGCAGCAGUGGGGAAUUUUGGACAAUGGGCGCAAGCCUGAUCCAGCAAUGCCGCGUGCAGGAUGAAGGCCUUCGGGUUGUAAACUGCUUUUGUACGGAACGAAACGGUCUGCUCGAAUACAGUGGGCUAAUGACGGUACCGUAAGAAUAAGCACCGGCUAACUACGUGCCAGCAGCCGCGGUAAUACGUAGGGUGCGAGCGUUAAUCGGAAUUACUGGGCGUAAAGCGUGCGCAGGCGGUUAUAUAAGACAGAUGUGAAAUCCCCGGGCUCAACCUGGGACCUGCAUUUGUGACUGUAUAGCUAGAGUGCGGCAGAGGGGGAUGGAAUUCCGCGUGUAGCAGUGAAAUGCGUAGAUAUGCGGAGGAACACCGAUGGCGAAGGCAAUCCCCUGGGCCUGCACUGACG